UGGGGAAUAUUGGACAAUGGGCGCAAGCCUGAUCCAGCAAUGCCGCGUGUGUGAAGAAGGCCUGCGGGUUGUAAAGCGCUUUCAGUGGGGAAGAAAAGCCCUGGGUGAAUAGCUUGGGGUUUUGACGUUACUCACAGAAGAAGCACCGGCUAACUCCGUGCCAGCAGCCGCGGUAAUACGGAGGGUGCGAGCGUUAAUCGGAAUCACUGGGCGUAAAGCGCACGUAGGCGGCCGAGUCAGUCUGCUGUGAAAUCCCCGGGCUCAACCUGGGAACGGCAGUGGAUACUGCUUGGCUAGAGUUUGAAAGAGGGGGGUGGAAUUCCAGGUGUAGCGGUGAAAUGCGUAGAGAUCUGGAGGAACACCAGUGGCGAAGGCGGCCCCCUGGUUCAAAACUGACGCUGAGGUGCGAAAGCGUGGGGAGCAAACA
Molecule: ribosomal RNA, 427 nt
Filed under: uncultured Chromatiaceae bacterium
Lineage: Bacteria; Pseudomonadati; Pseudomonadota; Gammaproteobacteria; Chromatiales; Chromatiaceae
Description: partial 16S ribosomal RNA
Rfam family: Bacterial small subunit ribosomal RNA
Source: RNAcentral